This 474-nucleotide ribosomal RNA is filed under the name uncultured bacterium. RNAcentral's name for it is "bacterial SSU rRNA". It matches the Rfam family "Bacterial small subunit ribosomal RNA", at positions 330 to 795 of the family's 1533-position model. The record is from RNAcentral.
CCCAAACUCCUACGGGAGCCAGCAGUGGGGAAUAUUGGACAAUGGGCGCAAGCUUGAUCCAGCAAUGCCGCGUGUGUGAAGAAGCCUUUCGGGUUGUAAAGCACUUUUAUCAGGAGCGAAAUACCACGGGUUAAUACCCUAUGGGGCUGACGGUACCUGAGGAAUAAGCACCGGCUAACUUCGUGCCAGCAGCCGCGGUAAUACGAAGGGUGCAAGCGUUAAUCGGAAUUACUGGGCGUAAAGGGUGCGUAGGCGGUUGUUUAAGUUGGAUGUGAAACCCCCGGGCUCAACCUGGGAACUGCAUUCAAAACUGACUGACUAGAGUAUGGUAGAGGGUGGUGGAAUUUCCUGUGUAGCGGUGAAAUGCGUAGAUAUAGGAAGGAACACCAGUGGCGAAGGCGACCACCUGGACUAAUACUGACACUGAGGUGCGAAAGCGUGGGGAGCAAACAGGAUUAGAUAACUCUGGUAGUC